This 328-nucleotide unclassified non-coding RNA is filed under the name soil metagenome. RNAcentral's name for it is "partial contains 5.8S ribosomal RNA, internal transcribed spacer 2, and large subunit ribosomal RNA". The stretch from base 1 to 119 matches the Rfam family "5.8S ribosomal RNA", at positions 35 to 154 of the family's 154-position model. The record is from RNAcentral.
GAUGAAGAACGUAGCGAAAUGCGAUAGGUAAUGCGAAUUGCAGAAUCCGUGAGUCAUCGAAUCUUUGAACGCACAUUGCGCCCCCUGGUAUUCCGGGGGGCAUGCCUGUCCGAGCGUCAUUACAACCCUCAAGCUCAGCUUGGUAUUGGGCCCCGCCGACCCGGCGGGCCCUAAAGUCAGUGGCGGUGCCGUCCGGCUCCGAGCGUAGUAAUUCUUCUCGCUCUGGAGGUCCGGUCGUGUGCUCGCCAGCAACCCCCAAUUUUUUUCAGGUUGACCUCGGAUCAGGUAGGGAUACCCGCUGAACUUAAGCAUAUCAAUAAGCGGAGGA